This 266-nucleotide ribosomal RNA is filed under the name uncultured prokaryote. RNAcentral describes it as "partial 16S ribosomal RNA". It matches the Rfam family "Bacterial small subunit ribosomal RNA", at positions 524 to 789 of the family's 1533-position model. The record is from RNAcentral.
UACGUAGGGUCCGAGCGUUGUCCGGAAUUACUGGGCGUAAAGGGCUCGUAGGCGGUCUGUCGCGUCGGUAGUGAAAACUCAGGGCUCAACCCUGAGCGUGCUUUCGAUACGGGCAGACUAGAGGUAUGCAGGGGAGAAUGGAAUUCCUGGUGUAGCGGUGGAAUGCGCAGAUAUCAGGAGGAACACCGGUGGCGAAGGCGGUUCUCUGGGCAUUACCUGACGCUGAGGAGCGAAAGCAUGGGGAGCGAACAGGAUUAGAUACCCGU